GCCUCGGUAGUUUAAUGGCAGAACAAUUGCCUCCAAAACAAUUGGUGUGGGCUGUCACAGGUCAUCCAUGACCUGUGCCUUACAGGCAUCGCUAUCGCGAUGACCAAUUUUGUUCCAGACAAAAUUGUCGAUUCCUGCCCGGGGUGCCA
This 149-nucleotide transfer RNA is filed under the name Gammaproteobacteria bacterium. Its description in RNAcentral is "tRNA-Trp". It matches the Rfam family "tRNA". Rfam says of the family: Transfer RNA (tRNA) molecules are approximately 80 nucleotides in length. Their secondary structure includes four short double-helical elements and three loops (D, anti-codon, and T loops). The record is from RNAcentral. Lineage: Bacteria; Pseudomonadati; Pseudomonadota; Gammaproteobacteria.